Molecule: ribosomal RNA, 404 nt
Filed under: Acidobacteriota bacterium
Lineage: Bacteria; Pseudomonadati; Acidobacteriota
Also listed under: 1 other name
Description: Acidobacteria bacterium partial 16S ribosomal RNA
Rfam family: Bacterial small subunit ribosomal RNA
Source: RNAcentral
UGGGGAAUAUUGCACAAUGGGGGAAACCCUGAUGCAGCGACGCCGCGUGAAGGAUGAAGUAUUUCGGUAUGUAAACUUCUAUCAGCAGGGAAGAAAAUGACGGUACCUGACUAAGAAGCCCCGGCUAACUACGUGCCAGCAGCCGCGGUAAUACGUAGGGGGCAAGCGUUAUCCGGAUUUACUGGGUGUAAAGGGAGCGUAGACGGCUGUGCAAGUCUGGAGUGAAAACCCGGGGCUCAACCCCGGGAUUGCUUUGGAAACUGUGUAGCUGGAGUACCGGAGAGGCAAGUGGAAUUCCUAGUGUAGCGGUGAAAUGCGUAGAUAUUAGGAGGAACACCAGUGGCGAAGGCGGCUUGCUGGACGGUAACUGACGUUGAGGCUCGAAAGCGUGGGGAGCAAACAGG